AUGAAGACCCUGGGCCAGACCUCAGUGACAGGAGUCUUGGACACUGUACAUUCCCUCAAACGAUCCUCCAGCUUGGACACAUUAAGACGGAUGCAGUUUUCCAAACUUAAAUGCUCUGAUGUCACUUCAGGUUCUGGCUCGGGAACGCUUGGACCAGGUGCACAGGAUUCCUCUGGAUCAACAAGAUCCACUUCAGGUUCUGGACCAGGAGCGCUGGGAUCUGGGACACACGAUUGUUCAAUAUCGACCAGAUUCAUUUCAGGUUCUGGCUUGGGAAUGCUGGGAUCUGGGAGACAUGAUUCCUCUGAAUCAAGUAGAUCCAUUUCAGGUUCUGGGAUACAUGACUGCUCAGUAUCGACCAGAUUCACCUCAGGUUCUUGCUUGGAAAUGCUGGGAUCUGGACCAAAUGAUUCCUCUGGAUCAAGAAGAUCCACUUCAGGUUCUGGGAUACAUGACUGCUCGGUAUCGACCAGAUUCACUUCAGGUUCUUGCUUGGAAAUGCUGGGAUCUGGCACAAAUGAUUCCUCUGGAUCAACAAGAUCCACUUUAGGUUCUGGAUCAGGAAUGCUGGGAUCUUGACCAAAUGAUUUCUCUGUAUCAAGAAGAUCAACUUCGGGUUCUGGAUCAGGAACGCUGGGAUCUGGGACACACUGUUGUUCGCUAUCGACCAGAUUCACUUCAGGUUCUUGCUUGGAAAUGCUGGGAUCUGGACCAAAUGAUUCCUCUGGAUCAAGAAGAUCCACUUCAGGUUUCCCAACAGCAUUCAAUGCAUUUGUCUGGAAGAUUGCAGUCAAUUGCUGGAAGACUGCACUUAUUUCUUGAACAUCCACCCAGCAGUGCUUUCUAAAAAAAAUAAAAAGAGGAAAACAAUCAAGGUAAGUAAAGUUUGAUGACAAACUUGAUCAAACCAUUGUCUGACAAAUUAAAAUUAAAGCAUGAGGUUUAGAUUUUUAUUCCGAUAAUUCAGAAAAACUCUAAAUCAUACUUUAAACCCCAUUAGACCUCAUCUGACUGCUUAGAAACCACAUCAAAAACCAAUUAGACCUUUACAAACAACUAUGAGUCCUCUGCUAGCUGUUGAUGGCAUGUAUCCAACCAUUUUUAACGAAUAGAUAGAUAGAAAGAUAUAGAAACAAAAUCAGAUCAGCCUGAAGGUCCCUGCCAAAUUUGAUAGUCGUAACUGGAAAGUUCAAAGAUAUUUUACUCUUGGAAAAUCAGGGUGUCAGAAGAAGUGGACGAAUAAUAGGAAAACAGUAUUACGUCUUUCUCAACCUAACAUAAUAAUACACUAUCAGAAACAUCUCUAACCACACAAAUAAACAUGAUUAAGACAUAUAAAUGUAUGUCUUCACCUGUCGGGCUGUUCUCCUGAACACCGCUGUCUUCCACUGAAGGUCCUGCUGGGUCUCUCAGAUCUUCAGACACCAGCGCAGGCUUCUUCAGCUC
Molecule: long non-coding RNA, 1446 nt
Filed under: Carassius auratus (goldfish)
Lineage: Eukaryota; Metazoa; Chordata; Actinopteri; Cypriniformes; Cyprinidae
Description: lncRNA (ENSCARG00000018681.1)
Source: RNAcentral